Molecule: transfer RNA, 69 nt
Filed under: Marmota monax (woodchuck)
Lineage: Eukaryota; Metazoa; Chordata; Mammalia; Rodentia; Sciuridae
Description: tRNA.Ala
Source: RNAcentral
GGAGUUGUGGCUCAGGGGUAGAGCGCUCACCUAGCACGUGCGAGGCGCUGGGUUUGAUCCUCAGCACCA